Lates calcarifer (barramundi perch) is the source of this 133-nucleotide small nucleolar RNA. NCBI's taxonomy places the organism in Eukaryota, Metazoa, Chordata, Actinopteri, Centropomidae. The record is from Ensembl.
GCAGACACACUCUGUUCUUCGCUGCUCCCUCCAGCCUGGGACUUUUUCUGUCUGCUACAUGAAUGUGCAGAAUGUAACACUUCACUGGCUUGUUGCCAGGCUGGCUGGUGUUGGUAUGUUCUGCCACAUUACA